This is a long non-coding RNA of Alosa sapidissima (American shad), 3779 nucleotides long. RefSeq lists it as uncharacterized. Lineage: Eukaryota; Metazoa; Chordata; Actinopteri; Clupeiformes; Clupeidae. The record is from RefSeq and is a predicted model, not a curated record. The transcript is spliced from 3 exons.
UGCACAUACAAACUACUUGAAGUACUACACAUAGGCUAUGGAAGAUCGGUCAAAUCUACAAAGUAGGAACGUUUAAGUGGAUGACGUGAAAAUGAAAGCAAGACAUUCUAAAAGGCCAGCAAAGGUUAAGGUUGCUUUUGAUACAGUACAAAGACGCAAAACUGGUGCUCUGAAUAGCGAUUCUGUUGUCUUUGAAAGUUUCUCUUAUUAACGCAUUUAACUGCAAUUUGGAUUAACACCUCCUUUUACGGCGAAAGGCGGAAAUAUUUCACCACAAAACAGACGUGCGCUUUCAUGGGCAGUUUUCGUACAUACAGAGGAAUUCCUAAUUAGGCGCGUGUUACGCUUCUGCUCCCAUCUUUUACACAAAACUCCAACUUUCCCCUGACCCUCCUAUGAAUGCAUGACACGGAAAGCGCUAAUUGGCAUUGUCAACUCCUGUGACAGGCAGUACGCGGUUUUACCCAAGUGCGACCUGUUAGUACAGUACAUACCACGCCAUGUUUUUACCUGCAAAAACAUGUUUUUCAUGUGGGAGCAAAUGCGUUAGUACAUCUGGCAUGAGACACACACAAGACUAGAGAUACCUUCUGAUAAAAGGACGUUCGUUAUAACGGAGAGUAAGUCAGCAGCAAGAUUCAUACAAAAUGUACAUGAGCAACUACUGAGGAGGUGCUUAUACAAUGUAACACAACAGAAUAGCUUUUGAUGGAAUUAGGCCCUUAUUGUGUGUCACCAGUAGAUCAUUUCUUUAUAACUGCUUCUAACGUGUGGGAAAGGUGAAAACAGCUAUACUUAUGAGUUAUGUUAUUUAACUGAUCAAUAAAUGGCUUUCUGGCAAAACGUAUCAACUACAUCAAGUAUUUCAUACAGCAUACAACAACAAAAAUCUUCACAUACAUGACACAUGCUUUGAAGCUUAUUAUCACAACAGUCACAUACGUACAGUAUCAUAUUGAUAUGAGAUAAAAUAAAACAUUUCUCUUUGCAUCUUUCUCCAGAAAAUGUACCACUUCUGGAAGCCGUUACAUCUGUUUCAUUAUCGCAAUUAAGAAUGUGAGAAAGUGUGCCAAAUUUAUCCUGAUGUGUUUUCAAUCUGAUCUUUGAAAUGAUACAAUUUAACACAAAGAGGGAUUUUAACAGAUACUCCUAUUGUGAGAUUCUACAGCCUAUUUCAUUUCAUCCUUCCAAACCACUUAAACUGCACUUAACUGCACUUAAAAAGAAAUGCAAAAUAUUGCUGUAGUUGCCAUCUUGAGGUAGGAAACACAUGUACAACACUGACCAGGCAUAGGUAGGCCUAUGUCUUACACUACAAUAUCAUGACAAAGAAUGUGCAUUGUGUCAAGUCACCUUGAGUAGCCUAUGUCUUGCCCGGAAAAGUUGCACUGAAAUGCAUCACAAAUACUAUUGUCCACAGCCAACUAGCACAUGCACUCUGCACCUGCACCAUAUGCAGGUAUAUAAUGGCACAGAUAUAAGAUAUAAGAUAUCUGUGAUAUAACAGAUAAAGUAAACAAAGCAGUGCUUCCUUGCCAUUUUCACAAUACUUUUUCUCACCACCAACAGUUUUGUAAUACAUCUACUUCCAAUCAAAAAUGUGUUUGGUAAUAAGUUGCAAAUGGCAUUGUCAGUCCUGGAUCUUAAGAUUGUGGAAGACACAAAGAAAGAAAGAAGUGGAGGAAGAGACAAAAAAAAAACAAGAAAUCCUUUUGUUAGAUCCAGUUAUCCAGAAGCAAAACGCUAACUACCAGGAUGUAAACAGCCAAUCAGAAUAACUCAUUGACCAACGGCUCCGACACAUAAACACGGCACCAGAGGUCGAGACGGUGCAGAACACACACCGACAAGACAACCGAACACCAGCCUGGUGUGUUCUGGCCCUCACACAGCAAUCAAUAGUGUGGUUUCCUAGUCAUAACCAGUUAUGUUCAUAGCAUUUAAUUUGUAAUUUGACCAAUAAAAUAUCCUGAAAUAACCUGGAGCCAGGAAAAGAAACCCAGUAUUUAGUAGACACUCUGUACAAAGGAUGUGAUGUUUACAAAUACAAGAUAAAACCCUGACACAUCAAACUGUCUUCAAAAUAUCAGAUGUUGGAAUGAUAAUCUUUAUAGUCCUUUGGGCUCCCUUAGCUGGAGCAAAUCACAUGUUCAAAGAAAAUUCAAAUGUUUCUCCGGGUCCUUCCCAUCCUAUGAUGUCACUUUUUCUGCAACAUGUACAAUUUCACUGUUGUAUUUUAUCAAUGAGAUCUGAUUUAAAAAAAAGCAUGUGCAGUCACAACCUGAUUUAAUAACCUGAAAGUGUGUCAACGCUUUGGAAAAUAUCACACACGGUAAAGCACAGUUUUCUCUGCUGUACCAGCUGAUCAACAUAUUCUACUGGAUGUCUUUAGUAAAAACACCUGCCCACUGUUAGACUCGCAUCAGUCAUCAUGUUUUCAGAAAGUACCAAUGGCAUAGUCUUGGCUUUGUACUGGCACAGUCUUUUUGUCCUGCUUUAGUGCUCACCCAGCUCACAUGGGUUGUAUGUGGAGAGUUCAGUGGGGUCUGAUCGAUGCACUGCACCCCACACUGUACAGUAAUGCUAAAGCUAAUGCUUAUGGCCCAGGAGACUGUAGGCCUUAGGUGUGUCCUGGGGCCAGGCACUGACGCUCAGCUGAAUUAGCAGAAGAGCGCACACAUUCUGAGCUGGACACAGCACAUGCAUAUUUCAUGACUGUUUCCUAAUUACUCCGUCUGGAUUAAACCAGAUAGCAGAUAGAACAACAGAACAUGGAGUGAACCCAUGUCAUAUCAGAGACAUACUAAAGGCUGGCAGCUAAAUGCUACUUACAAACAGAGACAUACUAAAGGCUGGCAGCUAAAUGCUACUUAGAUAAACAAAAUAAGGAGCUUAACAUCAACAAAGAUGUGGAAUUACAAAUAAUUUCAGUAGCAUAUAUCAAACACCAGAUAUUAUUUAAAGAGACAGAGAUUAAGAUUUUCUGUCAGGCCAAACAACCCCAGUUUCUAACAUAUAGUUUUGAUUUGAGAACUGUUUCCCAUGUAUGGUAACUAAAUUAUACAUCCAUUAAUCUCCACAGACACCUGACUAAAGUCUGUCAAAAUUGUGUUUUGUGAACAUCUUUACACAUUUCCUGCCAUAUAUUAGCCUCCCCAACUACAACAUCACAGCUUCGAUCAUUCGAUUCCCUCCACUCACAAAUGAACCUUUGACUCUUGUCCAACGGCUCCCUCUGGUGAUUAGGUACAUGCUGCCACCCUGUGACCAUCAAGCAAACUACCCUGCAGAAGACCACACCCAUUGAUGCAGUACUAUUGUUGUGAAGGGAGUGGGGAGUGAAUUAGACCGUUUUGCCUCAAUCCAUUUCACCAGUCGCACAAAAGUCUGUUGGUAGUCUUAUUAUUAUUGCGUGGCAAUUAGAACAUGUCUCAGAAGCCAGUGGCACUAAUAGAGACAAAUCUGGGCACGCAUAAUGGUUAAGACUGAAUAUAAAGGGAAAUAAUCCCAAAUAAAUGCAUAAGGAUAAAAUCUAGCCUAGGACAACAGAUGGAAAACAGGAGUAUUCAUGUUAUAUGACUAUAAAGAUGAAUCUGAUAUGACUUGUUUCAAUCAUUUAUUGUACAUCAUCUAUACCAACCAUCUGGAAACAAGAGAUUUGACUUGAGACCUUCCGAAAACUGCAUUUGACUUAAAAUGUCUAUUUUCAGAUAUCAAUGUAAGAUUUGAGAGGAAACAGCAUAUACUUAUUAAAUAAAUCUUUCAUGAGAUGAUGAGAU